UCAAACUUGGUCAUUUAGAGGAAGUAAAAGUCGUAACAAGGUUUCCGUAGGUGAACCUGCGGAAGGAUCAUUAUUGAAUAACCUUGGUUGGGUUGUUGCUGGCUUUUAGGAGCAAUGUGCACGCUCACACCAUCUUUUAACCACCUGUGCACCUCGUGUAGAUCCCAUGGGGGGGUUACUUGAGAAUUAAUUGCUAUUCUCGUAUCCCUUCAAGGUCUAUGUUUUUAUCAUACCCCAUACAAAUGUAAUAGAACGGUUGAAUAAGGCCCUCGUGCCUUUAAAAUAUUAAACAACUUUCAACAACGGAUCUCUUGGCUCUCGCAUCGAUGAAGAACGCAGC
This 340-nucleotide unclassified non-coding RNA is filed under the name uncultured fungus. RNAcentral describes it as "partial contains small subunit ribosomal RNA, internal transcribed spacer 1, and 5.8S ribosomal RNA". The stretch from base 1 to 73 matches the Rfam family "Eukaryotic small subunit ribosomal RNA", at positions 1759 to 1831 of the family's 1831-position model. The record is from RNAcentral. Lineage: Eukaryota; Fungi.